GAUGAAGAACGCAGCGAAAUGCGAUAAGUAAUGUGAAUUGCAGAAUUCAGUGAAUCAUCGAAUCUUUGAACGCACAUUGCGCCCUUUGGCAUUCCGAAGGGCACACCUGUCCGAGCGCCGUCGCACAACUGAGGCGCAGCCUUGCGUUGGCGGGCGACUCGUGAGUAGCGAGUCGCCGCCCAAACGAGACGGCGCCGCGCCGCGGCCGACGAAGCACGAAAGCGGAAGUCGACGCGGAGGCGGUUGCCUGUAGGAAGACACAGCUUGGCCUCGGAUCAGGUGGGGAUACCCGCUGAACUUAAGCAUAUCAAUAAGCGGAGGA
Molecule: unclassified non-coding RNA, 322 nt
Filed under: soil metagenome
Description: partial contains 5.8S ribosomal RNA, internal transcribed spacer 2, and large subunit ribosomal RNA
Rfam family: 5.8S ribosomal RNA (bases 1-120)
Source: RNAcentral